This is a long non-coding RNA of Gasterosteus aculeatus aculeatus (three-spined stickleback), 676 nucleotides long. The record is from Ensembl. NCBI's taxonomy places the organism in Eukaryota, Metazoa, Chordata, Actinopteri, Perciformes, Gasterosteidae.
CGAUGCCAGGAGGCCGCCGCUGAAAACUCACUCAUUUCACUGUCAUGGCGUCUCCCGUUGAUAACCUUAUAUUUUCUCCACUGAUGAAUGAGACUUCUUAAAUAUUCCAGCUGACCACAGCGUGUCGGGAUGACUUGGAUGUUAAACUCGCAGACAUGUCAAUGGUAGUCAAUUGAUCCAUCACGUUGCGGAGGGCCACUGGGCUUAGAGAAGGCCAAAGCGGCUUGAUCCUCCUCAAAUCCAAAGCAAACAGGCACAACAUGGCCGCCCUGAUGCGCCGCAGCCUCGGGGCCUGAAAACAGGAGUUCCCCUGAGCAGCUAUCAAAAGCUUUGCUUCCCGCCAAGUGCAAAGGCCUCACGAUCCCCUGGAGUCUCAGAGGGCGAGGAAGACACGACCGGAGUCAACAACCUUCGUCUGUCCUUUUCAAGACCUUUACCCGCUCAGAGCAAAGCGUCUCAAUGAAUCCAGAACUUUCACUGUAAAUAUACAUAUUGAAGCCAUUACUCGAGGAGUUUGGAUGAGUCAAACGAUGAAGAAUGGCAUUACUCGAGCAGCAAAAAAGACAAGUCUUUCUUUUGAAGACGAUACUCCGUCUCCGGUUGUCGGUUGUGUUUUGCUUCCCUGAAAACAUGCACUUCAGAGAAGAUCCGGUUCCAGAAGACAUGACAAACAUAU